UCUAGUUUAGAGAUAUGUUUAAUGGCUUAAUGCUAGUGCAUGUAUUUGUGCGUUGACUUCAAAUUGAGAUUCAUUUGGGUGCUCUGUUUCAAGUUUUUAUUUUUUUUUUCAAAACUUGAUUCUAGCUUGCCAUAUGCCACACGUUAACGAAUAUUUGAGAGUUCUUGUCAUCCCAUUUCCUCUCUUCCCUCCUGUUCUUAGGUUAAUUUUUAAUUAUAUCAAACCAUAAAUAAAAAAUUUGUUACAAAAUUUGUUAAUAUAUAUGAACAAAUAGUCAAUUUAACCUUAAAGUUGACACAUGCUUAAUUAUAUCAUAGACUUAAUUUUUAUUUCCAUAUUAAAGUAAUAAAUUUUUUAAAGUGAGAGAGUUUAAGGUGAACAUACUGUCAACCUUGGGCGAUUAUAAUGGAAUUUAAAAAUUG
This 422-nucleotide unclassified non-coding RNA is filed under the name Hevea brasiliensis (rubber tree). Lineage: Eukaryota; Viridiplantae; Streptophyta; Magnoliopsida; Malpighiales; Euphorbiaceae. The record is from RNAcentral.